UUUUCUCUGCUAUAAAAUCACGCUAGGUGAACCACUUCUCCUGGCCUAUUAUUUACUGCGUAUUGAUUUUAUUAUCAAAAGAUAUUUUCCUUUAGUGAUUGAAUCCGACUCCCCUUACAGCAAUGCCUCCGCGAGGGAUGCCAAUUGUUACCUUACCAUACAGAGUGAAAACGCUUAUCUCCAUUAUUGAACUAAUUAAUUAUGGACUAUUUCUUCUUCUUGGCAUUACGUCCUCACUAGAACAGAGCCUGAUGCUCAGCUGUUCAGUGAGCAGAGCACUUCCAGUUAUUAACUCAGAGUUGCUAUUGUCGCAUUCCUAUAUCGUGUGGCGUAGAGAUUGGAAAAAUGGUCCAAUUAUGGGAGCGAAUCAUAGUUGACUCACUCACAAAAAUGAAUCGACUCAUUUGAUCGAUUCAGUAAGUCUCAUUAUAAAAUCAAAAAUAAAUAGUUUUUCUCGCAAAAGGGAAUGAAAAUUACAGUCGCCUCUCCACAUCUCGAUAUCGAAGGGACCAUCGAGAUAGGGAGGGAUCGAGUCAAAGAACAAAUUUUAGAUGAAUAUUAGAUUGAAAAACACUCCGUUGUCACGGUAGACACAACAAGGUAGGUGUAGGGAAUAGUUAUUAGUGGGUAAAUUAUUGUUCAUUUGAGUAAUUAUUCUGAACAAGUGAAGUUUAAGUCCAAUUUUCAAUAAAUAUGAUUAUGUUUCGUCGAGAGUGUAGAAAAAGCUCAGCAUGAAGUAGUUCGCGGGAAAAAUGAAAGCUUCCCUUUGAAUCAGUUUUGAAACGGAUUUGCGUGAGAACGGACGUGUGUUUUACUGUUCCGUAUUUAAAAGAGCGCAGUUUACGACAAUGUCGCGGUCGGUAGGGACACAACGUUCCCUACACUCAAAAAAAUCCAAACGUCGAUGCUACGUGAAAAAUCACGUAAGCUCUCAUUUAUAUCACUUUUGUCAAUUUUACCUGACCAACGUAAGACUCACCAAUCGCUACGUGAGCCAGACUCAAGACUCAAGGGCGACGUUGAUUAUUAGUGGAACUGAGUGGCUCAUUGCCACUCAAAUUUUGUAUACAAAAGUUUAUCUCUGACAGUUGGUACAGAUGUUAACAUCGAGAAGAAAAUGUAACAUUUUAGUUUCGUGCAUUUCGUUUUUAGUUAAAAGUGAUAAAAUCGAAUUGAUAUGGUUAAAAAAUGAAGCUCGGAUUCCGGCAGUCGGCAAAAAAUGGAACAUACCGUUGAGACAAUAACAUAUUUUAGAAUAAAUCAAUCGCAAACCGAAUCAAAUCAAUAAACGUGUGCUAUUCUAUUAUAUUUCAAAUCGCUAGGCUUUAUUUUCCUGAAAUUCUGAAAACGAAAUGAAAACCCAAUAUAAAUCCAAAUCACUAUUGAAUACCUAUGAACGCUAUCGAAACAAUAACGUAGCUGUUACGUGAAAUCUUAGUCACCUCGAGCUUCGCGGAAUUGAGUUCCGGCACUCACCAUUCACGUAGCUGUUACCUGAAAAGUGCGAUGGAAAAAAA
Long non-coding RNA from Aedes aegypti (yellow fever mosquito), 1517 nucleotides. RefSeq lists it as uncharacterized. The record is from RefSeq and is a predicted model, not a curated record. The transcript is spliced from 2 exons. NCBI's taxonomy places the organism in Eukaryota, Metazoa, Arthropoda, Insecta, Diptera, Culicidae.